Molecule: ribosomal RNA, 360 nt
Filed under: Staphylococcus aureus
Lineage: Bacteria; Bacillati; Bacillota; Bacilli; Caryophanales; Staphylococcaceae
Description: partial 23S ribosomal RNA
Rfam family: Bacterial large subunit ribosomal RNA
Source: RNAcentral
AAUAGCUCACUAGUCGAGUGACACUGCGCCGAAAAUGUACCGGGGCUAAACAUAUUACCGAAGCUGUGGAUUGUCCUUUGGACAAUGGUAGGAGAGCGUUCUAAGGGCGUUGAAGCAUGAUCGUAAGGACAUGUGGAGCGCUUAGAAGUGAGAAUGCCGGUGUGAGUAGCGAAAGACGGGUGAGAAUCCCGUCCACCGAUUGACUAAGGUUUCCAGAGGAAGGCUCGUCCGCUCUGGGUUAGUCGGGUCCUAAGCUGAGGCCGACAGGCGUAGGCGAUGGAUAACAGGUUGAUAUUCCUGUACCACCUAUAAUCGUUUUAAUCGAUGGGGGGACGCAGUAGGAUAGGCGAAGCGUGCGAU